GAAUUCAAAAAUAUCCUCAUAGGUUGUGAAAUCCAAAAUGAAAAAUUGGAACAAAGGCAAUCGCAGACAGCUACAUUUGGGAGGAUGAAAUCAAAAGCAUAACCACAAAAUGCCACUGCAGAUAAAGAUCUAAUGAUUAAUGAUGGUCACGAAUGAACAAACAGCAUGAUGCUGCUGAGGAAAAACAAUAAAUAUAAUGCUAGAUUUUCUUGAAUUGUCUGCUCAAGACAGUGUAUGCAAAAUGGGAUAAUUAGCAUGCUCUUCUCAGCACUGGUGAGGCCUCAGCUAAAAUACUGUUUUACUCUGAGGCACCAUAAUUUCAGAAAGACAUAGAUCAGCUGGAAGCAAUCCAGAGAUCAACAAAGAUGAAGAUUGGAAAAUUGGAUCCAUAAAGCAAGGUUGAAGUUCUAGUUUUGUUUUAAUCUUUAAAAAAAGAAAACAAAAACCAACCAACAAAAAAAAACAACAAAAAAAAAACCCCCUCCGACAAAUUAUAUGAACUUAUAAAAGUUCAACAGUCUUUAAGUACAUAAAAGGCUAUUACAAACAGGGUAGUUUUGUUUCUUCAUGCCCACUAAUGACACACAGAAUGUCAAGGAAACCUUUUUCAGCUAUACUACAAUAAGUAUGACAGUAACAUACUCUAACUAGAAGAAAAUAUUACUGCUGGAAUAUAUUACCCAAAAAGGUUGUAUAAUACUUGCCAUUAUUGAUUUUAGAUACAAAUCAGAGGGACUGCCAUCUGCACUUAUCAAGACAGUUGUGGACUUUCUUUGAAGCUAGGAGAUGGCCCAGGUGCAUGCUUUGUAGCAGGUGGCUGAGAUCACUGGGACUGUGACAGAGCAUACAAAUUAUUACAAGCUUUGGUAGCUAGCUUCUUCAGCUAAUGGAUGGCACAGAGAAUUGCCUGAAUCUGUUAUGUGUCUGUGAACAUCAAGUUCCUAGAUUGCAAGACCAGCCCAAUUCUUUGCUCUGCUGGAAGUCAUCUUAAGAGGUUGCGUGACACGGGCCUCAGGAAUGCCCCGUGGCACUCAGCUCUUACUCCAUCGUCACAGCCUUGCAGAGAGGGGUGGAUGGCUGCAUCUGGGAGUCCAUCUAAAAAAAAAAAUGAAAAAUGGAAACGAGCUGGAAAGAGAUAAAUUUUAUCCUGGUUCUUCAUCCUCCUCAGCAGAUGAACAACUGCAGCAUCAGCACAGAUUUCUGCUACUUGAGUUAAUGGAGUGCCACUACUAGUCACGGGUUGUCAUCCUCUGAGUAAAGCACUCCCAGAAGAGGAUAUCUGAUGAGCACUGCUAAGCCAUGCUCCCCAUGCAACCCAAGAGGAAGGACUUUUAACCCAUUACAGCAUCGGGCCAGGCUGAGCAGACCACAGCAAGUUCUCAGUACUCCUCAGUCCUAAUGCACCAGCUCUCAUGGACCCCAAAUAAGAGGUACACAUCUGCCUCAUUUCCUUGCACUGCCUGAUGAUAUUUGCACCCUCUGCCAAGCUGGUGAUGGCCACAGGACUGCAGCCUGGAGAGGGAAAGACUGAAAUACUGCUUUCACCAAGGCAUAUAUGACAGGUUUCAAAAACCAACCACAUAUUAAGAUGUCCACUUCUCAAAAGGACACAGACCAGCAAAGGCUGUAUAUUCUGGGACACAUCCUCCCAGUGGCUGCUUUGUGUUGCUGUAAUAAAGUCUGGACAAAAAGCUGCCAGAUCUACAUCUUGGGUGACUACUGUGUCAAAAGCAUUUUUUAAUGACACAGGUGGUGUGCUGAGUCUCCUCCCCACUUCCUUCACUGUUGCCACAUAAAGGUUAAACGUGGCUGGCACACUGCAAAGCCCCAUGGCUUUAUUCUGGUCUGUAAAAAAAACUUUGGAAAGAGGCUGUUUGGUGUCACAUGGCUGUUUUAAGAGGAGGAAAUGCACAUGCUGAUGUUUAGCGGCAAUCUGGGAAGAUUUACAUCUGUUGUGUUUGCAAGGCCAAGUGACUGCUAGAAAAUCUAGAAAUACAGGAAACAGACAAACUGAACCAGGGACAAAAGGAGUAAAUUAAAGCCAGCAAGUAAAUUCUAAGUGCAAGGAACUUCUAGUUAUGAGAUCUCCAUUAAGUUCUUCAGUGCAGCUGGCAGCCAUUUCUCUCUGCAGCUGAAGUUUCUGAAUGAUAACUUUUUGCGGAGUAUGUCAUAGGAAUGUAGAUUACAAAUUGCAAAUAUCUAGAUUGCAGCCACAAAGUGUAUAUCUGAACAGAAGGCAAAAUGCUUCUGGAAUUUGCUUUAAGUGGGAUGUCCAGAAGAAGCAAAGGAGGUAGUAAAACAAAUUGUGAACAGAAGUAAUGAGCAGCAUAGCAAGGGAAAAGAGAAGCAGCCUCAGCUUCUGGAUGUUUCUGUAGCUAGUCAUCUUGAUUUCCAGCUACCAGCUUGUCACCAUCGUCAUUCUUUCUUCAUUGGUUUGACUCAUUCCAGUGAAACACUGGAGAGCCCAACAAGUCAUCUUCCGUCAGAAACUAGACAAAACCAUCAGCGGUUUUCAGACAAAAGCGAGUACAGCACAUAUUGCCCUGUGGUGGCCUUGUCAACAUGACCUUUUCCAGCAGCCCCAAGCCAGCUCUGCCUGUGUUCCCCGAUGGCCAGGUGUGGUGUAGCUGUGGCCAAAAGCUGUGCACUCAGGUCAGUAUACCGGGAUAACACUUCUUUCACUGAUCGUUGUCACAUUUUGUCUAAACAAUGUGGUUACAUUUAAAAGCUUUUUCCCUCACUCUCUUGUCUACAUGUACUGAAUGGUUGGUUACCUCAGGGUGUUUUUUUUCUGUUCCUCCAUGCCCAUUUUGUUCCUGUCCCAAUUACUCCUAAUAUGAUGCCACCACUAAAACGAAGGCUCUACAUUCAAAUUCAAAUUAUGCAAGUUCAAACUUUCAUUUUUAAUCAGAUGCUGUUCAGAUGCCAUGCAACUACAGAUUUUACAGCACAAUUUGAGCGAGCUUUGCAAACAUUCUGUUAUAAGUGACCUAGGAUAAUUUGUGGUUUAAUAACAUAUUUGUGCAGUUUAUAUGUAUAAAAUAACAUGCAAGCUGGGAUUUGCAACGAGAAAAAUUGGGCAAGCCCAGGCUUGUAGAGAUUGCUUUUCAGAAGAACAAAGCCCUGGCUGGGUGUAGUUAAUGGCGAAGAACUACAGCCAUUAACCAGAAGAAAAGACCACGGAGCAACUCUUUCUGAGCAAGGAGGACACUUGAUUGCUCGGUCAUUAGGAGUUAUCUCAGCAACUGCAUGGAAGGAGACACACCUCUAUUCAUCAACUCAAACCCCAACAUUAGUAUUCAUCUGUCCCCAGAAGGUCUAUUCAGCAAAGGAAAGAACUGAAUGAAAAACUGAAAUGAUUCUUCAUCUUUCUGUGGAGAGUCCGUUUAACAGGUGAUUUUGCUGAAUAGAACAAAGAACGGGGGGACCACGGGCUUAAUAAAGUCUAUUUAAGGGGACCCCGAAAGGGUAAAAUUUGUGAAUAGGGAGAGGUCUCAGUGCGACUGAGUCUGUGCCCGUGGUUCAGCCAGUGCCGAUCCCGGGUUAUUGACAUUGCACUUUCGAUUGCUGGUUUGCCUAAAUUUUUGAUUUGUAAUUUCUUUAAUUAAUAAAAAUUAUUUUAUUCAUUUGGAAAUUGACUGGCCGUUUAUAACAAUUCCAAGCAAACAAACUUUGCAGGAAACACAGUCUUAUUAUUUUGCUAAUCUUUGGGACACUGCCUCACAGGGAUCAUCAAUUGAAACAAACCCUCUACUCAGUUCCUUCACAGAUUGAUGUUUGUACCAUUACACAGUAUUGCUAUUUUCCUAUUUUGACAACUGUUAGAGAAAUAGUUCAUACUAGUUACAGAAACUACCUAGUUUGAUGAUCUUAUGACUUGCUAUUACUCCUCAAAAAUGUAUUAUUUACUGAGUUUCUGAUCAUGUUUGCUCUCAAUACUUAUCAACCAGUCUUCAGUUAUUGCCUGUUUCUCAACAGAUCCUUUCUAAUGCCGUUUUUGGUAAUUUUCACCUUGCAGAACCUGUGCCAUCCUCCUUAACUUUAAUUCCAGAACCCAUUUCA
This is a long non-coding RNA of Prinia subflava (tawny-flanked prinia), 4062 nucleotides long. RefSeq lists it as uncharacterized. The transcript is spliced from 6 exons. The record is from RefSeq and is a predicted model, not a curated record. NCBI's taxonomy places the organism in Eukaryota, Metazoa, Chordata, Aves, Passeriformes, Cisticolidae.